UACGUAGGGUGCAAGCGUUACUCGGAAUUACUGGGCGUAAAGCGUGCGCAGGCGGUUAUGCAAGACAGAUGUGAAAUCCCCGGGCUCAACCUGGGAACUGCAUUUGUGACUGCAUGGCUAGAGUGCGGCAGAGGGGGAUGGAGUUCCGCGUGUAGCAGUGAAAUGCGUAGAUAUGCGGAGGAACACCGAUGGCGAAGGCAAUCCCCUGGGCCUGCACUGACGCUCAUGCACGAAAGCGUGGGGAGCAAACAGG
This 253-nucleotide ribosomal RNA is filed under the name uncultured bacterium. RNAcentral's name for it is "partial 16S ribosomal RNA". It matches the Rfam family "Bacterial small subunit ribosomal RNA", at positions 524 to 776 of the family's 1533-position model. The record is from RNAcentral.